AGUCGAUUUAAAACAACUGCAGUGACUCCUGAAGCAAAAUUAUACAUUGACUAUCUCUUGCCUUUCAGAUCAUCAAAUCCCCAAAGACUCGCUAUAAAUCGCUCCGCUUCCUUCCCAUAAUGACUUGGGCAGAAACAUUCUGAAUUAAAUGACGCUGUGACGUGAUUUAUGUACAUCUGGACUUUCAACCCAAUGACUUCCCAGCACUCCAUCAAUCUUUAUAAAGUCCUGGCAAUGUACUUGAAAAGAAUUGCAAUGCCAAUGGAGGCAAGUCUGGACUCUUUAAAGUCUAGAGAUCUCAUAGCACUUAUCUGCUGACAGCAACAUGAAGCCAGCCACAGUAAAAUUCUCAGGUGGGAGCUAAUAUCUGGGGAGGUUCCUGGGAGAGCAGAAUAACUCAAUGUAUUGGUCAUGUGCAAAGACGUAUCUGUGGUA
RNAcentral lists this long non-coding RNA (435 nucleotides) under Mustela putorius furo (domestic ferret). RNAcentral describes it as "lncRNA (ENSMPUG00000027211.1)". The record is from RNAcentral. Lineage: Eukaryota; Metazoa; Chordata; Mammalia; Carnivora; Mustelidae.